This 253-nucleotide ribosomal RNA is filed under the name uncultured bacterium. RNAcentral's name for it is "partial 16S ribosomal RNA". It matches the Rfam family "Bacterial small subunit ribosomal RNA", at positions 524 to 776 of the family's 1533-position model. The record is from RNAcentral.
AACGUAGGAGACAAACGUUAUCCGGAGUUACUGGGCGUAAAGGGCGUGUAGGCGGUUGGUUAAGUCUGGCGUGAAAGCUCUCGGCUAAACCGGGAGAGGUCGUUGGAUACUGGCCGACUAGAGGACGGUAGAGGCGUGUGGAAUUCCGGGUGUAGUGGUGAAAUGCGUAGAGAUCCGGAGGAACACCAGUGGCGAAGGCGGCAUCCUGGACCGAGAUUGACACUGAUGAGCGAAAGCUAGGGGAGCAAACGGG